AUUGAACGCUGGCGGCACGCUUUACACAUGCAAGUCGAACGGUAACAGGCCGCAAGGUGCUGACGAGUGGCGAACGGGUGAGUAAUGCAUCGGAACGUGCCCAGUCGUGGGGGAUAACUACUCGAAAGAGUAGCUAAUACCGCAUACGAUCUAUGGAUGAAAGCGGGGGACCGUAAGGCCUCGCGCGAUUGGAGCGGCCGAUGUCAGAUUAGGUAGUUGGUGGGGUAAAGGCUCACCAAGCCAACGAUCUGUAGCUGGUCUGAGAGGACGACCAGCCACACUGGGACUGAGACACGGCCCAGACUCCUACGGGAGGCAGCAGUGGGGAAUUUUGGACAAUGGGCGCAAGCCUGAUCCAGCAAUGCCGCGUGCAGGAAGAAGGCCUUCGGGUUGUAAACUGCUUUUGUACGGAACGAAACGGCUCUGGUUAAUACCCGGGGCUAAUGACGGUACCGUAAGAAUAAGCACCGGCUAACUACGU
Molecule: ribosomal RNA, 481 nt
Filed under: uncultured bacterium
Lineage: Bacteria
Description: partial 16S ribosomal RNA
Rfam family: Bacterial small subunit ribosomal RNA
Source: RNAcentral